Regulatory RNA element from Clostridium sp. Maddingley MBC34-26, 111 nucleotides. It matches the Rfam family "TPP riboswitch aptamer (THI element)". From Rfam's summary of the family: Vitamin B(1) in its active form thiamin pyrophosphate (TPP) is an essential coenzyme that is synthesised by coupling of pyrimidine and thiazole moieties in bacteria. The previously detected thiamin-regulatory element, thi box was extended, resulting in a new, highly conserved RNA secondary structure, the THI element, which is widely distributed in eubacteria and also occurs in some archaea. Lineage: Bacteria; Bacillati; Bacillota; Clostridia; Eubacteriales; Clostridiaceae. The record is from Rfam.
UUGAAUAACUAGGGGAGCUAAUAUUUUGGCUGAGAUUGGAAAGAUUGAUUUCCUAGACUCUUAUAACCUGAUUUGGUUAAUACCAACGUAGGGAAGUAUAUUAAUAUUUUU